AAACGAUAGUUUAUUCCAUCCGAAGCUUUUGCAUAAUAUCUAUCUUUUUUUUCAAUUAAUAUUGUUGCGGAAAUCCUGUUUUUCUGUUUUAAUUAAUUUCUUCUCUUUUUUUUCUUUUUUUUUUUUUAUAUACAAAUAAAAGUUAAAGCAAUGAACAAUCUUGAACUAACGUAUAAAUGCGAAACAGAUACUACACGUCCAUUUUUAAAAAGUCUUCCCGUUGGGUUUGAACCAGUUGAAGUUGAUGAUUAUUAUAUUUCCUUAAAAGAACAAGUCCGAGCAAUGCAAGAUCAUUGCAAUGAAGAGUUUACUAAGAAAAUGCAAACUGAAGGAAAGAAUGAUGUCCCAGAGGAAAAACCCAUAAUUUUAUAAGCGAUUAAUUAAUAAGGACAGAUCGUGUCGAACUGCAUAACCAUUAAAAAAACAGAAAAAUAAAGCUAGACAUCACUUAUAAAUUGCCUUUUACUAUAAU
Molecule: unclassified non-coding RNA, 472 nt
Filed under: Schizosaccharomyces pombe (fission yeast)
Lineage: Eukaryota; Fungi; Ascomycota; Schizosaccharomycetes; Schizosaccharomycetales; Schizosaccharomycetaceae
Source: RNAcentral